CCUGCUCGUUCCUGACUUAAGCCAUCGGGCGUCGAAGUGGGGGGUGAUGCUAGGGGAACACCGGGUAGGGGAACAGGAGCGUGAGCACAAUGAGCAUCCCGACGCCUGUAGCUCCCUGGACAGCGUCGAAUCUGAGCGUCUUCAGGCGAAACCAGACCUUUAUCUUAUCCCGUGAGAAAGAAGCAACACAACACCUCCAGCCAUGGACGCCAUCAAGAAGAAAAUGCAAGCUAUGAAGCUUGAAAAGGACAAUGCUUCAGAUAAGGCAGAUGCGAUGGAGGCGCAGGCCAAGGAUGCGAACCUCCGUGCUGAAAAGGUGAACGAGGAGGUCCGUGAGUUGCAAAAGAAGCUCACACAGGUCGAAACUGACUUUGAGACUACCAAGACCAACCUGGAACAGGCCAACAACCUUUUGGAAGAAAAGGAAAAGCAGUUGACUCAGGUUGAAGCUGAAAUGGCCUCUCUGAACCGUAAAGUCCAGACCAUUGAAGAAGACCUUGAACGAUCGGAAGAGCGUCUAGGAACUGCCACAACAAAAUUGGCCGAAGCCUCCCAAGCAGCCGAUGAAAGCAGCCGUAUGUGCAAAGUAUUGGAAAACAGGGCCCAACAAGACGAGGAACGUAUGGACCAACUUACCAACCAACUCAAAGAAGCUCGUAUGCUGGCUGAGGAUGCUGACAACAAAUCAGAUGAAGUAUCCCGCAAGCUGGCCUUCGUUGAAGACGAGCUCGAAGUAGCUGAAGACCGUGUUAAAGGAGGUGACGCCAAGAUCAUGGAACUGGAGGAGGAAUUGAAAGUUGUAGGUAACUCCCUGAAGUCUCUGGAGGUGUCAGAAGAGAAGGCCAACCAGAGAGUGGAAGAAUUCAAGAAACAGCUCAAAACCUUGACAGUCAAACUGAAGGAAGCUGAAGCUAGAGCCGAAUAUGCUGAAAAGACUGUGAAGAAACUGCAGAAGGAAGUCGACAGGCUAGAAGAUUUUGUUCUACGUGAAAAGGCCAAGUAUCAUGGCAUUGUUACAGAUAUAGACAAAACAUUCGUCGAAAUGUCAUCACAAGCAUCCAAAAAAUAAUCAUUCUUUUCAUUUUUUGCAACGAAUACUAGACAUUAAUAAAAAAUCCCAUUCAUUUUUCACUUCAUCGUUCAUUUCACAAUGCAUUCUAACGAAAACACUUCCAUCAAUCAUGAGAAAUUUCUUUUAAAAAAAAUAAUUCACAUUUUUUGGGGAAAUGAGGAUAUUCAUGAAAAUAUUGAAAGUGUUCAUUAAUUCGACGUUUUAAUGCUUAUUUCUCGAAAAUAAAUCGACCCUUCUAUCAUUAGCUUCGAUAUUACAUUCACUGAUUCACUACUAUAUGCGAAACUUUAAUUAUUUCACACAAUGGCUUGCUUGAAAGUUUCCAGUUAUUCGCUGGGGUUUUCAAAAGAUGAGCUUGGAAUCAACAAAGACAGAUACAAGUCUUUGGCCGACGAGAUGGACUCCACCUUCGCUGAAUUGGCAGGUUAUUAAUUUUUUUUACAUCUAAGAUCCAUCCAAAAUAUAUUUUUCAUCCUCUUAUCUACUGAUUGGCCCCAUCGAUAUUGUACAUCUGGUGUUCUGAGAUCUAACGCGGCCAUUAUGUAUUAUUUAUGUAUGUAUGUUCUGCUUUUUGAACUUGCAACUCCUUAUUGAUUCACUUGAAUGACAUGUAUAGACCUUUAUUUUAUCGAAUUGUUUGUUUUGUUUAUUUUAAUAAAGUUGUAAGGAAAA
Coccinella septempunctata (seven-spotted ladybird) is the source of this 1744-nucleotide RNA transcript. It is a transcript of the gene named tropomyosin-1, with no coding region annotated. The transcript is spliced from 6 exons. The record is from RefSeq and is a predicted model, not a curated record. Lineage: Eukaryota; Metazoa; Arthropoda; Insecta; Coleoptera; Coccinellidae.